Long non-coding RNA from Cornus florida, 392 nucleotides. RefSeq lists it as uncharacterized. The transcript has 2 exons. Lineage: Eukaryota; Viridiplantae; Streptophyta; Magnoliopsida; Cornales; Cornaceae. The record is from RefSeq and is a predicted model, not a curated record.
UAUAUUUUUAGGGCAAGUCAUUCCAGCCUCCCCAAUCGCCUCCAUCUCUCUACUCGUUCUCAACUCUCUCUCUCUCUGCAACUGCAAACUACAAAAUCUACGAGAAUCAUAAGUUCAAAACCCAUAUAUUUCAGUUUAUCUAUCUGCUGCAAGAAUCAAAAGUUCAAGACCUUUUACCUAUAUCAAAACCCAUAUCGGCAUAACAUUUCAGAUUGUUCAAAAAAUCAAAACCCGUAUCUUUCAGUUUCCAUCGCUAGCUGUUCCUGUUCGGGUUCGCCGUUCUCAAGCUUCAGCCGCUGGCCCGCUGUCUCUCAACUAUCAAGCUUGCCACCUCUCUCUCUCUGCAACUGCUAACUUGUUGGUAAACCCAGCUGGAGCAGGAUAAGAAACAA